RNAcentral lists this ribosomal RNA (468 nucleotides) under uncultured bacterium. RNAcentral's name for it is "partial 16S ribosomal RNA". It matches the Rfam family "Bacterial small subunit ribosomal RNA", at positions 28 to 507 of the family's 1533-position model. The record is from RNAcentral.
GACGAACGCUGGCGGCGUGCUUAACACAUGCAAGUCGAACGGAAAGGCCCUGCUUUUGUGGGGUGCUCGAGUGGCGAACGGGUGCGUAACACGUGAGUAACCUGCCCUUGACUUUGGGAUAACUUCAGGAAACUGGGGCUAAUACCGGAUAGGAGCUCCUGCUGCAUGGUGGGGGUUGGAAAGUUUCGGCGGUUGGGGAUGGACUCGCGGCUUAUCAGCUUGUUGGUGGGGUAGUGGCUUACCAAGGCUUUGACGGGUAGCCGGCCUGAGAGGGUGACCGGCCACAUUGGGACUGAGAUACGGCCCAGAGUCCUACGGGAGGCAGCAGUGGGGAAUAUUGCACAAUGGGCGGAAGCCUGAUGCAGCAACGCCGCGUGCGGGAUGACGGCCUUCGGGUUGUAAACCGCUUUCGCCUGUGACGAAGCGUGAGUGACGGUAAUGGGUAAAGAAGCACCGGCUAACUACGUG